Molecule: transfer RNA, 68 nt
Filed under: Oligoryzomys stramineus
Lineage: Eukaryota; Metazoa; Chordata; Mammalia; Rodentia; Cricetidae
Description: tRNA-Ile
Source: RNAcentral
AGAAAUAUGUCUGAUAAAAGAGUUACUUUGAUAGAGUAAAACAUAGAGGCAAAACCCUCUUAUUUCUA